UCGGACGUGGUGCAUGGUGCGCAUCCGCGAGAAAUGGAAGACGAAAGAAACUUCCUGCGGGAAGUCCGGGUUCGAUUCCCGGCGUCCGAA
Non-coding RNA from Mycena capillaripes, 90 nucleotides. The record is from the annotation of a GenBank genome assembly. Lineage: Eukaryota; Fungi; Basidiomycota; Agaricomycetes; Agaricales; Mycenaceae.